Centrocercus urophasianus (Greater sage-grouse) is the source of this 1174-nucleotide long non-coding RNA. RefSeq lists it as uncharacterized. Lineage: Eukaryota; Metazoa; Chordata; Aves; Galliformes; Phasianidae. The transcript is spliced from 3 exons. The record is from RefSeq and is a predicted model, not a curated record.
UGGUCAUGAGGCAGUCAGAAUGCUUUUAUAAUUCACCGUGCAUCAAAGCUCAGCAUUUAAGGAACUGGCUAGCCACAGUGAAACCAAAAGAACUCAAAAGCACCAUCUAAUUCCCAUUUCUGACAGAAGUCGCACGCAAGGCAGCUAGCACAAGCAUUCCCUGUGUGUAUGCUCUGCCGUCACAGAGUGCUGAAUGCAAGCAGAGGCACCUUCUGCUGGAAUCCAUGCAAGGCUGACAUGCCACGGAUGCUCUGUCCUUCGGUUCUCCUUCUGUGAAGCAGGGAUUUGGCCUGAGGCUUUUGGAAAGAAGAGCAAGCCCCUUCUUCCCCUUGGGAAAAGUCACAGAAAAUGGGAGGACACCAGAGAUUACAGCUCUGCUCUUACAAAUGAAAUUUCUUCUGCCUAAAUAUUGUGAAUAUGAAAGCAUACACUUCCCAUCAAUGGCUGGAUUUAUUCUUUCCCGUCUAUCUGACUGGCUGUGUGAGCAACGAGAUGAAGAUACAGUACUAUUUAUGGACUAAAGAGGAUCUAUGAUUGAUUCGUUACUGUACAUUGGUGUAUGCACACACAGACAAGUCAGAGAAAUACAUGGCUCUUUCUGCCUACUGAGGGAUAGAUAUACUCAAUAUAUUCAAAUGUGUGUAAGGUUGUGUGUGUGUGCACAUUGCAUGGGUGAAUAACCACAACAAAGACAUAUUGAAACAUAAUCCUAAGGUUUAGGGAUCAAUUUGUUUUAGGUAUGGCCUGAGAUAUUGUACUUGUUUCCUUUAAAUCUAAAAACCUUUGUGUGGACAAAAUAUUGCAGAGUCUCUUUACAACAUUUAGAUCCUGUCCCUGAUAAUGAGCAUCUUAUGCCUGUGAGGACUGCAAAGAGUGCUUUUGCCAUACAUUUGUGCAAGCAGAAUAUUACAACUGCUUAAAGGGCAUACCUCUGGUAACAGCAAAGCUAACUUGUGUACUCCCUGUGUAUUCUGAAAGCAAACAUAUUCUUAGCUAAUCCAAACACAGGGACAUAACCCCUCCAUAUAUGCAAGUAUCAUUGUUUCGUAAGACCACUCAUGUGUGCAUAUUUCUUUCCACAUUGUUAUAUCUUUGGUCAAUCAUGAAACAUCAGGUAUCUCACAAAAGUCUUUAAAAAUGCAGAUGGCAUUUAGUAUAUAUGCUCUGCCCUAAA